RNAcentral lists this ribosomal RNA (265 nucleotides) under uncultured bacterium. Its description in RNAcentral is "partial 16S ribosomal RNA". It matches the Rfam family "Bacterial small subunit ribosomal RNA", at positions 793 to 1055 of the family's 1533-position model. The record is from RNAcentral.
GUCCACACCGUAAACGUUGGGCGCUAGGUGUGGGACUCAUUCCACGAGUUCCGUGCCGCAGCUAACGCAUUAAGCGCCCCGCCUGGGGGAGUACGGCCGCAAGGCUAAAACUCAAAGGAAUUGACGGGGGCCCGCACAAGCGGCGGAGCAUGCGGAUUAAUUCGAUGCAACGCGAAGAACCUUACCUAGGUUUGACAUAUACGAGAAGCCUCUAGAGAUAGAGGUCUCUUUGGACACUCGUAUACAGGUGGUGCAUGGCUGUCGU